This 508-nucleotide ribosomal RNA is filed under the name uncultured bacterium. RNAcentral's name for it is "partial 16S ribosomal RNA". The stretch from base 13 to 373 matches the Rfam family "Bacterial small subunit ribosomal RNA", at positions 40 to 399 of the family's 1533-position model. The record is from RNAcentral.
GACGAACGCUGGCGGCGUGCUUAACACAUGCAAGUCGAACGGAAAGGCCCUGCUUUUGUGGGGUGCUCGAGUGGCGAACGGGUGAGUAACACGUGAGUAACCUGCCCUUGACUUUGGGAUAACUUCAGGAAACUGGGGCUAAUACCGGAUAGGAGCUCCUGCUGCAUGGUGGGGGUUGGAAAGUUUCGGCGGUUGGGGAUGGACUCGCGGCUUAUCAGCUUGUUGGUGGGGUAGUGGCUUACCAAGGCUUUGACGGGUAGCCGGCCUGAGAGGGUGACCGGCAGAGGUGGGCCUGCGAUACGGCCCAGACGCGGACGGGGGGCAGAGGGGGGGAAUAAUGCACGAGGGGGGGAGGCGGGAUGCAGGGACGCCGGGUGCGGGCUGCGGGGCUGCGGGGUUAAGACCGCUUGCGGCGGGGAGGGAGGGUGAGGGAGGGUAGUGGGAAACGAAGCCCCGUCAACCUACGUGACGGCAGCGGGGGUAAUGAUGGAAGCGCACACGUCUGACC